ACAAGACAUGUGCUCGACUACUCGACACUGGCUGCAGAGAUAGUAACAGCUAUCUACUCUCCAUACCAAAAUACAACAAAUUAAAACUUAGAAGAGUCUGCAAAAGCUCAGAGUUAGCAUGUAAAUAUCAUACAAUAAUUAUCCAUUACCAGCCGACAUUAUCAGAAUCUGUUUACAGAAGAGAUGGAAAUGGUUCACAUAGUCAUAUACAAAUACCAAUUUCCCACCUGAAAGAGGAU
Long non-coding RNA from Mercurialis annua (annual mercury), 239 nucleotides. RefSeq lists it as uncharacterized. The record is from RefSeq and is a predicted model, not a curated record. The transcript is spliced from 2 exons. NCBI's taxonomy places the organism in Eukaryota, Viridiplantae, Streptophyta, Magnoliopsida, Malpighiales, Euphorbiaceae.